GAUGAACGCUAGCUACAGGCUUAACACAUGCAAGUCGAGGGGAAACGACAUUGAAGCUUGCUUCGAUGGGCGUCGACCGGCGCACGGGUGAGUAACGCGUAUCCAACCUGCCUCUGACUAAGGGAUAACCCGGCGAAAGUCGGACUAAUACCUUAUGAGGUUUUCUGCAGACAUCUAAUGAAAACGAAAGAUUUAUCGGUCAGCGAUGGGGAUGCGUCUGAUUAGCUUGUUGGCGGGGUAACGGCCCACCAAGGCAACGAUCAGUAGGGGUUCUGAGAGGAAGGUCCCCCACAUUGGAACUGAGACACGGUCCAAACUCCUACGGGAGGCAGCAGUGAGGAAUAUUGGUCAAUGGGCGAGAGCCUGAACCAGCCAAGUAGCGUGCAGGAUGACGGCCCUAUGGGUUGUAAACUGCUUUUAUGUGGGGAUAAAGUGAGCUACGUGUAGUUUAUUGCAGGUACCACAUGAAUAAGGACCGGCUAAUUCCGUGCCAGCAGCCGCGGUAAUACGGAAGGUCCAGGCGUUAUCCGGAUUUAUUGGGUUUAAAGGGAGCGUAGGCCGUGGAUUAAGCGUGUUGUGAAAUGUAGACGCUCAACGUCUGAAUUGCAACGCGAACUGGUUCACUUGAGUAUGCACAACGUAGGCGGAAUUCGUCGUGUAGCGGUGAAAUGCUUAGAUAUGACGAAGAACUCCGAUUGCGAAGGCAGCUUACGGGAGCACAACUGACGCUGAAGCUCGAAGGUGCGGGUAUCAAACAGG
This 759-nucleotide ribosomal RNA is filed under the name uncultured Prevotella sp. Its description in RNAcentral is "bacterial SSU rRNA". It matches the Rfam family "Bacterial small subunit ribosomal RNA", at positions 28 to 776 of the family's 1533-position model. Lineage: Bacteria; Pseudomonadati; Bacteroidota; Bacteroidia; Bacteroidales; Prevotellaceae. The record is from RNAcentral.